AUUGAACGCUGGCGGCAGGCUUAACGCAUGCAAGUCGAGCGGAGAGAGGUAGCUUGCUACUGAUCUUAGCGGCGGACGGGUGAGUAAUGCUUAGGAAUCUGCCUAUUAGUGGGGGACAACAUUUCGAAAGGAAUGCUAAUACCGCAUACGUCCUACGGGAGAAAGCAAGGGAUCUUCGGACCUUGCGCUAAUAGAUGAGCCUAAGUCGGAUUAGCUAGUUGGUGGGGUAAAGGCCUACCAAGGCGACGAGCUGUAGCGGGUCUGAGAGGAUGAUCCGCCACACUGGGACUGAGACACGGCCCAGACUCCUACGGGAGGCAGCAGUGGGGAAUAUUGGACAAUGGGCGCAAGCCUGAUCCAGCCAUGCCGCGUGUGUGAAGAAGGCCUUAUGGUUGUAAAGCACUUUAAGCGAGGAGGAGGCUACUUUAGUUAAUACCUAGAGAUAGUGGACGUUACUCGCAGAAUAAGCACCGGCUAACUCUGUGCCAGCAGCCGCAGUAA
Molecule: ribosomal RNA, 501 nt
Filed under: uncultured bacterium
Lineage: Bacteria
Description: partial 16S ribosomal RNA
Rfam family: Bacterial small subunit ribosomal RNA
Source: RNAcentral